CACUCCUACGGGAGGCAGCAGUGGGGAAUAUUGGACAAUGGGCGCAAGCCUGAUCCAGCCAUGCCGCGUGAGUGAUGAAGGCCCUAGGGUUGUAAAGCUCUUUCACCGGUGAAGAUAAUGACGGUAACCGGAGAAGAAGCCCCGGCUAACUUCGUGCCAGCAGCCGCGGUAAUACGAAGGGGGCUAGCGUUGUUCGGAUUUACUGGGCGUAAAGCGCACGUAGGCGGACUAUUAAGUCAGGGGUGAAAUCCCGGGGCUCAACCCCGGAACUGCCUUUGAUACUGGUGGUCUUGAGUUCGAGAGAGGUGAGUGGAAUUCCGAGUGUAGAGGUGAAAUUCGUAGAUAUUCGGAGGAACACCAGUGGCGAAGGCGGCUCACUGGCUCGAUACUGACGCUGAGGUGCGAAAGCGUGGGGAGCAAACAGGAUUAGAUACCCGAGUAGUCCCAUGA
This 450-nucleotide ribosomal RNA is filed under the name uncultured organism. Its description in RNAcentral is "partial 16S ribosomal RNA". It matches the Rfam family "Bacterial small subunit ribosomal RNA", at positions 334 to 800 of the family's 1533-position model. The record is from RNAcentral.